RNAcentral lists this ribosomal RNA (520 nucleotides) under uncultured Glomus. RNAcentral describes it as "SSU rRNA". It matches the Rfam family "Eukaryotic small subunit ribosomal RNA", at positions 569 to 1090 of the family's 1831-position model. Lineage: Eukaryota; Fungi; Glomeromycota; Glomeromycetes; Glomerales; Glomeraceae. The record is from RNAcentral.
AGCAGCCGCGGUAAUUCCAGCUCCAAUAGCGUAUAUUAAAGUUGUUGCAGUUAAAAAGCUCGUAGUUGAAUUUCGGGAUCAAAUUGUCGGUCGUGCCUCGGUACGCACUGGUAUUAUUGGUUCCUACCUUCUGAAGAACCGCGAUGUCAUUAAUUUGGUGUCGUGGGGAAUCAGGACUGUUACUUUGAAAAAAUUAGAGUGUUUAAAGCAGGCUUACGCUUGAAUACAUUAGCAUGGAAUAAUGAAAUAGGACGUUUGAUUCUAUUUUGUUGGUUUCUAGGAUUGACGUAAUGAUUAAUAGGGAUAGUUGGGGGCAUUAGUAUUCAAUUGUCAGAGGUGAAAUUCUUGGAUUUAUUGAAGACUAACUACUGCGAAAGCAUUUGCCAAGGAUGUUUUCAUUAAUCAAGAACGAAAGUUAGGGGAUCGAAGACGAUCAGAUACCGUCGUAGUCUUAACCAUAAACUAUGCCGACUAGGGAUCGGAUGAUGUUAAUUUUUUUAAUGACUCAUUCGGCGCCUUA